GAUGAACGCUGGCGGCGUGCCUAAUACAUGCAAGUCGAGCGAACAGACGAGGAGCUUGCUCUUCUGACGUUAGCGGCGGACGGGUGAGUAACACGUGGAUAACCUACCUAUAUGACUUGGAUAACUUCGGGAAGCCGGAGCUACUACUAGAUAAUAUAUCUAACCGCAUGGUUCAAUAGUGAUAGACGGUUUUGCUGUCACUUAUAGACGGAUCCGCGUCGCAUUAGCUAGUUGGUAAGGUAACGCCUUACCAAGGCACCGAUGCGUAGCCGACCUGAGAGGGUGAUCGGCCACGCUGGAACUGAGACACGGUCCGGGCUCCUAGGGAGGGCAGCAGUAGGGAAGCUGGCGGAAGGGGGGAAGGCCGGACGAGGCAUCGCCGCGUGAGGGAUGAAGGUCUUGGGAUGGAAAACCUCUUUUGUGAGGGAAAAAGAAAUGUGUAAGUAACUAUGCUCGUCUGACGGGAACCGAAUAAGAAGGACAGGGCAAACUCGGU
RNAcentral lists this ribosomal RNA (496 nucleotides) under uncultured bacterium. Its description in RNAcentral is "partial 16S ribosomal RNA". It matches the Rfam family "Bacterial small subunit ribosomal RNA", at positions 28 to 506 of the family's 1533-position model. The record is from RNAcentral.